Molecule: long non-coding RNA, 345 nt
Filed under: Panax ginseng (ginseng)
Lineage: Eukaryota; Viridiplantae; Streptophyta; Magnoliopsida; Apiales; Araliaceae
Description: long non-coding RNA (PGIN_LNC010804)
Source: RNAcentral
UACAAUCAAAGCUAGUAUCCAGAAUAGAUAUUUUGGACAAAAAGAAGAAAAUUUUAUUUUUCGGUGAAUAGUGCCGUAUUCGUGAAUAGUGUCGUAUACGUGAAUAGUGCCGUAUACGUGAAUAGUAACCCCGACACAACAAGUUCCAAAUUUGAUAAAAAAGUUCACCAAUACUUCGGCAUAAUGAUAUUGAAGAAAAAAUAUCAUUUAAGAAGAAAAUAAUACCCCUUACCUCAAAAUAACCGUACUUCUGACUGAAUUUCGGUAUAGUGCUGACAGAAACCCGCACCGUAUAGCAACACUCAAAGUAUACUCACAAGAAUACGCUCGAUAAUUUAGAGAGAG